AUUUUGCAAUUUAAAAAAAAAACAACACUUUAUUAACUAUACAUGUACUAUCUAUUUACAAAUAAUCAACGUCCUGAUGUGAAUGAAUUUCUUUUAAUUUUUAAUUUGAAACCAAUUCGAGACAAAUUAAUCCUUUCAUGGGUGUCGUAGUUGACUAAGGGUUAUGUGAAGAAGAAAUAGUUAAAAUCUUUUACAAAAUAUCUAAACAACAUGCUUGGGCUAAUCUUAGAAAUAAACACCUUUUUUUUAAUUUUAAUUUUUAUUUUGGUAAAGACAUUUGAUUAUUAAAAAAGAUAUAUGUGCUAGAUAUAUUUGCAAAAAAAAAAAACAA
This is a non-coding RNA of Biomphalaria pfeifferi, 331 nucleotides long. NCBI's taxonomy places the organism in Eukaryota, Metazoa, Mollusca, Gastropoda, Planorbidae. The record is from the annotation of a GenBank genome assembly.